UACGUAGGGGGCAAGCGUUGUCCGGAUUUAUUGGGCGUAAAGAGCGUGUAGGCGGCCAGAUAGGUCCGUUGUGAAAACUGGAGGCUUAACCUCCAGCUGUCGAUGGAAACCAUCUGGCUAGAGUCCGGAAGAGGAGAGUGGAAUUCCUGGUGUAGCGGUGAAAUGCGCAGAUAUCGGGAGGAACACCUAUGGCGAAGGCAGCUCGCUGGGACGUUACUGACGCUGAGACGCGAAAGCGUGGGGAGCAAACAGG
This 253-nucleotide ribosomal RNA is filed under the name uncultured bacterium. RNAcentral's name for it is "partial 16S ribosomal RNA". It matches the Rfam family "Bacterial small subunit ribosomal RNA", at positions 524 to 776 of the family's 1533-position model. The record is from RNAcentral.